CGAUGCCAAACGCCGCUAGAGGCGCUGGCUGUCCUAUUAUUGGUGUGCUAAAAAACCUGACCGAAAAAUGUACCGUUUCUACUACGGGGUCUCAUGAAUAUUCAGGAAGUCAAAACGUGGUCACGUGGCACUUUUCCGGAACCUGGUGAGCUGAAGUUAGCGGACUGCCAUAGCAGCUUAUAUUUACUAUGGAAGAAGAGUAUUCACAACCAUUAUUCAUAACAGAUUCUGAGGAGAGUGAAAAAGAAAUUGGAGAAAGUGAAUCUCAAGCACAGACGCAAGCUCCAAGAUUCAUGCCACUUUUCACUCCACGCUUUAGUUCUGAGAAUACAGAUUCUGAUGACCAAAGUUUAAAAAUUCCAGAAAAGGUUGCAAGAUUGGACACACAGUUAACCUUUUCUGCAUCAACAUCAGAAUUUGAUUCAAGCCCGAAAAUAUUACGGAAAAAAGUAAAGAAACCAAAACGUGACCAGAAC
This is a long non-coding RNA of Patella vulgata (common limpet), 476 nucleotides long. RefSeq lists it as uncharacterized. The transcript has 4 exons. NCBI's taxonomy places the organism in Eukaryota, Metazoa, Mollusca, Gastropoda, Patellidae. The record is from RefSeq and is a predicted model, not a curated record.